AUGGUGACCAUGGCGAGCGCUACUCUGCUUUUCUACUGCAUUUUUGGUGAUGAUGAUUUUGCUACAACCGUAAUCUCUUUUUGCUACCAUGGUCUUCAUUUUUUGCUGGAACCAGUCAUUUUUUUGCUACCAUAUUGUGUGUUAUGCUGGAACCAGCUUACCAAUCUGCUACCCCCAUCUCCAGUUUUUGCGGCGGCGAGGGGCGGAAACUGGCGGCAAGGGCGGGGACAGGCAAGACCGGAGCGCCUGCUGCAGGCCAUGGCGGCAGCGCUUUGUUCCCACGAGAAUGGAGGAACCGAGAUCGAAAGCGGAGCGCGAGGAAGGAGGAACCGAGAUCGAUAG
RNAcentral lists this ribosomal RNA (342 nucleotides) under Triticum aestivum (bread wheat). RNAcentral's name for it is "partial small subunit ribosomal RNA". Lineage: Eukaryota; Viridiplantae; Streptophyta; Magnoliopsida; Poales; Poaceae. The record is from RNAcentral.